UACGAAGGGGGCGAGCGUUGUUCGGAUUUACUGGGCGUAAAGGGCGCGCAGGCGGCUCAUUUUGUCAGGCGUGAAAGCCCCGGGCUUAACCUGGGAACUGCGUUUGAUACGGACGGGCUAGAGUUCGGGGGAGGAGAGUGGAAUUCCCAGUGUAGAGGUGAAAUUCGUAGAUAUUGGGAAGAACACCGGUGGCGAAGGCGGCUCUCUGGACCGAGACUGACGCUGAGGCGCGAAAGCGUGGGGAGCAAACAGG
Molecule: ribosomal RNA, 253 nt
Filed under: uncultured bacterium
Lineage: Bacteria
Description: partial 16S ribosomal RNA
Rfam family: Bacterial small subunit ribosomal RNA
Source: RNAcentral